Molecule: ribosomal RNA, 450 nt
Filed under: uncultured bacterium
Lineage: Bacteria
Description: partial 16S ribosomal RNA
Rfam family: Bacterial small subunit ribosomal RNA
Source: RNAcentral
GUCGAGAAUAAUUCACAAUGGACGAAAGUCUGAUGGUGCAACGCCGCGUGAAGGAUGACGGUCUUCGGAUUGUAAACUCCUGUCAUCCGGGAGUAAGACCUGGCUGUGAAUAGCAGACAGGGUUGAUAGUACCGGAAGAGGAAGGGACGGCUAACUUCGUGCCAGCAGCCGCGGUAAUACGAAGGUCCCGAGCGUUGUUCGGAAUCACUGGGCGUAAAGGGAGCGUAGGCGGCGUGGUAAGUCAGAUGUGAAAUCCCGGGGCUCAACCCCGGAACUGCAUCCGUUACUGCCGUGCUAGAGGAUUGGAGAGGUAGCUGGAAUUCUUGGUGUAGCAGUGAAAUGCGUGGAGAUCAAGAGGAACACUCGUGGCGAAAGCGAGCUACUGGACAAUAUCUGACGCUGAGGCUCGAAGGCCAGGGUAGCGAAAGGGAUUAGAUACCCGAGUAGUCC